UACUUGGACCAAUGGGCUUGUGGAAU
This 26-nucleotide non-coding RNA is filed under the name Homo sapiens (human). Lineage: Eukaryota; Metazoa; Chordata; Mammalia; Primates; Hominidae. The record is from RNAcentral.